This 626-nucleotide long non-coding RNA is filed under the name Notechis scutatus (mainland tiger snake). RNAcentral describes it as "lncRNA (ENSNSUG00000019724.1)". The record is from RNAcentral. Lineage: Eukaryota; Metazoa; Chordata; Lepidosauria; Squamata; Elapidae.
UUUAUUUUUAAAGCAUCUUUCCCUAAUGUGCCUGCCAUGGUCAAUUGUGAGAAAUAAUAUCCAAUACAUCUGGAGGACACCAUGUUGAGAAUGCUGAUUUAAAGCUUUCCAUAUGUGAUGGAAAAGUGAUAGAUACAUAGGGUUGUUGCUUAUCUCUAAAAAACAUUAAGUUAUCUUUUAAGCAUCUUAUUUGAACACAAAAACUUAACUAACACAUUUUUCUACUACCCACCACAGUGGACUUCUGGGAUUUCUUCUGACUUUAUAUACUAUGAAACUUAAAAGCAGCAUCUCCUCAGGACAGUAUUUAGCUUGGAAUUUCUUAGCAAAGGUUAUCACAGCUGGUCUGUCUCCAUUCUUAUUUGAAAUUGCAGUGAAUGUACCAACUGCCUGCUGUCUUUUGCUGGCUGGAUUUGCCGAAGUCUUGCUUCUCUACAUUGAAAGGACUGGCACAUGAACACUGGCAAGUGAGGAAGAUGAUUCUUCAAUGGGGCUGCUCAAUUUUUGUUUAAGAAUUAGUGAUUAAUGAAGACAUGUAAGCAAACAGCAAGUUACAAGUGCAAUCCCAUGAUGGCUUUCUCAAAAAAAAUAAGUCCUAUUCACAAUAAAACCAAGAAUCAACUACA